CCUACGGGUGGCAGCAGUAGGGAAUCUUCCACAAUGGGCGAAAGCCUGAUGGAGCAACGCCGCGUGGGUGAAGAAGGUCUUCGGAUCGUAAAACCCUGUUGUUAGAGAAGAAAGCGCGUGAGAGUAACUGUUCACGUUUCGACGGUAUCUAACCAGAAAGCCACGGCUAACUACGUGCCAGCAGCCGCGGUAAUCCGUAGGUUGCAAGCGUUAUCCGGAUUUAUUGGGCGUAAAGGGAACGCAGGCGGUCUUUUAAGUCUGAUGUGAAAGCCUUCGGCUUAACCGGAGUAGUGCAUUGGAAACUGGGAGACGUGAGUGCAGAAGAGGGGAGUGGAACUCCAUGUGUAGCGGUGAAAUGCGUAGAGAUAUGGAAGAACACCAGAGGCGAAAGCGGCUCUCUGGUCUGGAACUGACGCUGAGGUUCGAAAGCGUGGGUAGCAAACAGGAUUAGAUACCCUGGUAGUC
RNAcentral lists this ribosomal RNA (465 nucleotides) under uncultured bacterium. RNAcentral's name for it is "partial 16S ribosomal RNA". It matches the Rfam family "Bacterial small subunit ribosomal RNA", at positions 338 to 795 of the family's 1533-position model. The record is from RNAcentral.